This 423-nucleotide ribosomal RNA is filed under the name uncultured bacterium. RNAcentral's name for it is "bacterial SSU rRNA". It matches the Rfam family "Bacterial small subunit ribosomal RNA", at positions 358 to 773 of the family's 1533-position model. The record is from RNAcentral.
GGAAUAUUGGACAAUGGGCGCAAGCCUGAUCCAGCAACGCCGCGUGGAGGACGAAGGUCUUCGGAUCGUAAACUCCUGUCAGAUGGGACGAAGGGUUCAGGGUGAAUAGUCCUGGAUCUGGACGGUACUAUCAGAGGAAGCCCCGUCGAACUCCGUGCCAGCAGCCGCGGUAAUACGGAGGGGGCGAGCGUUAUUCGGAAUUAUUGGGCGUAAAGGGCGCGUAGGCGGCUUGGCAAGUCAAAUGUGAAAUCCCUCGGCUCAACUGAGGAACUGCCUUUGAAACUGCCUGGCUUGAGGCCGGGAGGGGGUAGCGGAAUUCCCAGUGUAGCGGUGAAAUGCGUAGAUAUUGGGAGGAACACCAGUGGCGAAGGCGGCUACCUGGACCGGUUCUGACGCUGAUGCGCGAAAGCGUGGGUAGCAAAC